This 129-nucleotide non-coding RNA is filed under the name Fidelibacterota (SAR406 cluster). The record is from RNAcentral. Lineage: Bacteria; Pseudomonadati.
AGUUUAAAUUCUAUCAUUAGUUUUAUACACAAAAUUUGUUAGGAAUUUGGUGAAAAUCCAAAACUGUCGCGCAACUGUAAUUCUAAAUAAANAGAUAAGUCAGAUACUAACCAUAUGAUACAUUCCGCG